UGGUGGCAAAAUCACAUGGUUUAUUGCGCAAAUACGACGCACCGGCCUGCAUGGGGGCAGAGGAAAGCAAUCCCAGUCAGUGUCAAGCAAACUCCUGUGGAAUUUCAUAUCUUUAGGAGGAAUAUUUUGGUAUGGCUAAGCUGGAGGAUUCGUACGGGAGGUCAAAGGUCAUCGCAUCAAGCAAAUCCAGUUGUACUGGCUGGCGUUCAGUAAUGCUUCCUGCUCCCUUCAGAAUGGAAGGUAGGACCGGUGGAUUUAAUCCCAGUUCUUCACCAUUAUUCGCUCAAAGGGCUGACUUCCCCGCUACUGGCUUCGCGAUCCAUCACACGACGGGGGCAAUCUGCCCACAACGUCCUGGAUACGGGGAGGCUGGUGUCCCCCCUCUGGUCAGAGAUCCCGGAGUGCAAGAUGGUCUCACACACCUGCGAGAAGACAUUCCAGCUGUCGGCAACAUUUAUCUGUUCCUGGGGAGGCUGAGGUUCACACGCUUCUCAGUUUUCUCUCUCCACCAUUAACGGUCCUGCCAAUCCGCUUCUGCGUUCGCUCUGCUAAUCACGCUCCAGUGAGUGGCAGAGACCGGAUCUGAUUGGAGGACAAUCUGUCAAUGACCGUCAGCGACUCCUGGGACAGCUGGGACGCAGUUUGCCAGCUUGAGCUGAUCCGCAGCAGAACAACAGUGACUUAUUUCAUUAUAGCAGGAUUCCCGGGUCGCAAAAUUCUGAAAGGUGUUUCGUUUUCAUUUUUAUGUACAUACACACCUCAUUAUGGAUUUCUUGAACAGUGACAUGUCUAAUGUGCCCCCCACCACCGCUGUCACCACUGCAGGCCUGCAGAUGCAUUACCUGCGCGAAAUACUCCUCUGAGAUGCGCCCUGCCCACUCGAUACACAGCUCCAGUGGUCGGCACGGGUUCGAGAUGUCUGCGCACUUAAUCAGCAUGCGUUUCACCAGGAUCCGGUUCUCUGGGGACGUCAAGAUGCCUUUCACUGAAUCCUCGUCUCCAUUCCCCUUUAAGCCAACAGCCGAGAGCAGAGCAUUCAACAUUAUACACACACUAAAGCAAAAUUUAACUAGGAUCCCCAUAAACCAGAAGCCUCACAGAGAAUCUAAGCACAUGGGCUGCACCGGGCAUAUUUACAUCACCGGAGAGCUUCCCGAGUACCAGGAAUCAGUCACUGCCACCCGGAGACCCUGAUUUAUUUGUAAUUAGCAAGCAGGGGGGUGUUCCAUGAAACAAGGUUUCUCAGUUAGCUGGGUUAGGGUUAGAAGUCAUGAUUGUCCAAUUAGAAUUGAAGUAAGGAGCAUUCCUAUUGGACAGUCAUGACUGCUAACUUAAAUUAACCCUGCUAAUUGAGAAAUGUUGAGGAAGUCUUUGUGGAACACCCCCCCCCCACACACAC
Molecule: long non-coding RNA, 1399 nt
Organism: Brienomyrus brachyistius
Lineage: Eukaryota; Metazoa; Chordata; Actinopteri; Osteoglossiformes; Mormyridae
Exons: 3
Source: RefSeq, a predicted model, not a curated record